Molecule: long non-coding RNA, 691 nt
Organism: Quercus robur (English oak)
Lineage: Eukaryota; Viridiplantae; Streptophyta; Magnoliopsida; Fagales; Fagaceae
Exons: 3
Source: RefSeq, a predicted model, not a curated record
GGGAACUAUCGUCCAGUACAUAACAAACUCAAAAUACUUUUCAAUUCAACAACUUCAGUCUCAAAAUUCAGCGGAUUUGAUCAUUCAAUACCUCAAUCCCAAUUUGAAUUUGCUGAUUAUGGAACAAUAGCUUCCCAUUGCUAUGACACUACUUAAUUGACUGGUAAUUUUAAUUGUUUUACAAGUCAAGCAUCUACUUUUACAGGCUAAAAAAUAAUGCAAUUCAUAACUUAAUACUGACUCUUAUCUAAAAAAAAAAAAAAAUAUGUUCUUACCAGAUGUGAUUGGCAUAUUGGACUACAUUGGAGCCAUUGAGGAGAUCAAAACAAGAGGGCGUCCAACAAAGAUGAGAAACAUUCAACUAUUGUUAGAAGAGUGACUAUCAACUAUCAUCCACUUUUGCAACAAAGUUGUAUGUCAAUUUAGACAUUCCAGAAGUUGCAGAAAUUAGAAACAAAUUUUGAAAUUAGAUGAGAAUAUUUUACCAAAAGAGAUUCAGAAAAUAAUUGGCAAUGAAUAUUUGUUCCAACUGCAUCUUGAUGAAUAUAAUUUGAAGUAUGGAAAAGAAAAUUACACAGUUUCGAAGAUUUUGGAGACGAAAAUUUCACAUAAGCAGAAUGACUCACGUAAAGUUGAAGAACAUCAGGUAAUUGAAGCAUACUUACUUCACUUUGCUUACUAUAUGAUUUAA